CAUUCAGGCCUGGUCAGGAGUGGGAAGGCAGGCUUAGCGGGAAGAUGAGGCGAGUUCCCCUCCGGAGGCCAGGGAAAGGCCAGGGAAGGUAGCCUCCCUUGUUAAAUAUCAGCCCAGUCCCUUGUCUCCUCAGAACUAUGCUGUGGAUCCCACCUCCACUCGUCCAAGCCUCCUGAUGGCCCACAGCGCCCACACCAGCUGCUGGCCAUCUCACCACUCUCCCACUUCUUAUCUGCGCUUCAGACACACAGUGCUCAACCACGCUAACCCCACCUCAGGGCCUUUGCACUGGCUGUUGUCUCUGCCCAGAACACUCUCCCAAGAUGUCCAACCGGCUGGCUCAGAUGUUUACAUGCAGCCUCAUGACAAAGGCCUCCCAGACUCCCCGAGACUCUAUCCCUCACCCUAGCAUAUUUUCUUCCCAUUGCACCAGGAGCUCUCAUAUGGGUACCCAGAAUGGAGGGGGCCCUGGCACUGACAGGAGGUGACAGGUGCAGGGAAGGUGCCCUCUAACUUCAAGGCUGAACCUAGAACCAAGGCAGCGGGGCCCCGGGAGCCCAGCCCCAUCAGAACUGUGCCAAGGUUUGGGCGGCGGCUGGGGGAGGUGCUGCGGUUCUAUUUAUUUUGGGGCAUCAGUCCUGGGAGGGCUCUCCAGGAGCAAGGUAACAAACACUUCAAUGCGCUGUGUGGAGCGGUGCACCUCCGAGAAUGGGAGCAAACAGCUCAAGGCCACACAGCGAGCAGCACCAAAGCUGGGCGCUCAGCGCUCCGUUGGCGUGUCCCGCGCAGCAGCCAUCCACAGCCUGGCUGGGGCUCUGAGGGCAGGGCUCCCUGCGAUGCUGCGGACUUGAGCACAGCCCUCCUGAGAGAGAACCGUGAUUAAGGCUUACUCCCCCGCUCCAGUUCUGAAGCCUGUUUGGGCUGUGACGGUGGAUGGGGACAUACUUCCCUUCUGGGCUUCUGGGGGCCUCCUGAGUGCAGCAGUGCAGAGCCUGGCCAGGUGUCUGACCUGAUGUUAGAGCCUCCUUGGUCCCUCCCAUCUAUGGACAACUUUUAGCAAAUCGCCACUUCUCAGGGCUGUGUUGUUGGUUGUGCGAUGGAGCAGAAAGGCAGCCUGCCUCCUUGUAUGAUCUCUACUCUGCAGGAGGACACAGAACACUGCUGGCUUGGGAUGCUCUGCAGGAGCUGCUCCUGUUCAGAAGAGAUUUGGAUGCCAGACGGCCAGCCCACCCAGAUGCAGAUACUCACUACGCCUUACCUCUUCAGCCUGUGAACUCCUAUUCAUCCAUCGAAACCCACUUCCUCCAGCUCUGCCUUUGUGUGGUUUUCCUGUAUUUGUCACUCAUUUCUUGUGGUUCCUAUGGCCCCUUGCUUCCCUCUACCCAAACCCAAUCACACUGGGUGGCCGUGCCCAUGUCCAUGCCUGCUUACGGCACCAGACUUCACUCCCUUGAAGCAGAGGCUGACCUGGCAGUUAGUGAUCACUUACCCUCUGCCACACACUGUUCCAUGCACUGUGCACAGUUUACCGCAUUGAAUUUUCACAACAGCCCUUGGAAGUGGGUUCUGUUGCCUUUCCCAUUCAACAGAGGAUGACACCGAGGCACAGAAGAUGCUAGGCAAUUUGUUGAAGAUCACAUGGUGGGUGAAAGGCAGGCUUGGGGUCCCAGCCCAGGUAGCCUGGGGUCCAAGGCCUGGGAGGGUCCAGCUCUCAUUCAGGAUGGUAUCUGGCCGCCACUUGGGUGCUCUUCCCCUCUCAGGCAUUUGAGGACCUCCCUUCCCCCCAGACUGGGUUAAUGGAGCCCAGUAAAUACAAUGCCAGUAUCUAAAUGAAAAGCUCCGUGUCAUUCAAUUCUUCAAGUUGUAAGAAUAAAGAAAGUACAUAGUUCUCCAAA
Molecule: long non-coding RNA, 1895 nt
Organism: Mustela lutreola (European mink)
Lineage: Eukaryota; Metazoa; Chordata; Mammalia; Carnivora; Mustelidae
Exons: 3
Source: RefSeq, a predicted model, not a curated record